RNAcentral lists this ribosomal RNA (1187 nucleotides) under marine metagenome. RNAcentral's name for it is "bacterial SSU rRNA". It matches the Rfam family "Bacterial small subunit ribosomal RNA", at positions 304 to 1520 of the family's 1533-position model. The record is from RNAcentral.
UCAGCCACAUUGGAACUGAGACACGGUCCAAACUCCUACGGGAGGCAGCAGUAGGGAAUCUUGCACAAUGGAGGAAACUCUGAUGCAGCGAUGCCGCGUGAGUGAAGAAGGCCUUUGGGUUGUAAAGCUCUUUCGUCGGGGAAGAAAAUGACUGUACCCGAAUAAGAAGGUCCGGCUAACUUCGUGCCAGCAGCCGCGGUAAUACGAAGGGACCUAGCGUAGUUCGGAAUUACUGGGCUUAAAGAGUUCGUAGGUGGUUAAAAAAGUUGGUGGUGAAAUCCCAGAGCUUAACUCUGGAACUGCCAUCAAAACUUUUUAGCUAGAGUAUGAUAGAGGAAAGCAGAAUUUCUAGUGUAGAGGUGAAAUUCGUAGAUAUUAGAAAGAAUACCAAUUGCGAAGGCAGCUUUCUGGAUCAUUACUGACACUGAGGAACGAAAGCAUGGGUAGCGAAGAGGAUUAGAUACCCUCGUAGUCCAUGCUGUAAACGAUGUGUGUUAGACGUUGGAAAUUUAUUUUCAGUGUCGCAGCGAAAGCAAUAAACACACCGCCUGGGGAGUACGACCGCAAGGUUAAAACUCAAAUGAAUUGACGGGGACCCGCACAAGUAGUGGAGCAUGUGGUUUAAUUCGAAGAUACGCGCAGAACCUUACCAACACUUGACAUGUUCGUCGCGACUCUAAGAGAUUAGAGUUUUCGGUUCGGCCGGACGAAACACAGGUGCUGCAUGGCUGUCGUCAGCUCGUGUCGUGAGAUGUUGGGUUAAGUCCCGCAACGAGCGCAACCCUCACUUUUAGUUGCCAUCAUUUAGUUGGGCACUCUGAAAGAACUGCCAGUGAUAAGCUGGAGGAAGGUGGGGAUGACGUCAAGUCCUCAUGGCCCUUACGUGUUGGGCUACACACGUGCUACAAUGGUAUUUACAACAGGAAGCAAGACGGCAACGUUAAGCAAAUCCCUAAAAAAUACCUCAGUUCGGAUUGCACUCUGCAACUCGAGUGCAUGAAGCUGGAAUUACUAGUAAUCGUGGAUCAGCGUGCCACGGUGAAUACGUUCCCGGGUCUUGUACACACCGCCCGUCACACCAUGGGAGUUGGUUCUACCUUAAGGCAAAGUUUAAAACCUUUGACCACGGUAUAGUCAGCGACUGGGGUGAAGUCGUAACAAGGUAGCCGUAGGGGAACCUGCGGCUG